CGGCGGACGGGUGAGUAACACGUGGAUAACCUACCUAUAAGACUGGGAUAACCUCGGGAAACCGGAGCUAAUACCGGAUAAUAUAUUGAACCGCAUGGUUCAAUAGUUAAAGACGGUUUUGCUGUCACUUAUAGAUGGAUCCGCGCCGCAUUAGCUAGUUGGUAAGGUAACGGCUUACCAAGGCAACGAUGCGUAGCCGACCUGAGAGGGUGAUCGGCCACACUGGAACUGAGACACGGUCCAGACUCCUACGGGAGGCAGCAGCC
This 266-nucleotide ribosomal RNA is filed under the name uncultured Staphylococcus sp. RNAcentral describes it as "partial 16S ribosomal RNA". It matches the Rfam family "Bacterial small subunit ribosomal RNA", at positions 96 to 355 of the family's 1533-position model. The record is from RNAcentral. Lineage: Bacteria; Bacillati; Bacillota; Bacilli; Caryophanales; Staphylococcaceae.